AACGGUCAUACCAUGCUGAAUAUACCGGUUCUCGUUAGGUCACCGAAGUCAAGCAUCAUUGGGCGCGGUCAGUACUUGGGUGAGUGACCACCUGGGAACACCGCAUGCCGUU
This 112-nucleotide ribosomal RNA is filed under the name Caerostris darwini. The record is from RNAcentral. Lineage: Eukaryota; Metazoa; Arthropoda; Arachnida; Araneae; Araneidae.